AUGCACAGUAUAGCCAAGAUCCUCUGCAAGUUGCUUGCCAACAGGCUGGCCCCGGAGCUUGAUUCCCUUGUCUCUCUUUCCCAGAGCGCUUUCAUUAAGAAGAGAUGUAUUCAGGACAACUUCCUUUAUGUGCACAAUGUCAUCAGAGAGGCUCACACUAAGAAGAAGCCAUUAAUCUUCCUCAAGCUUGACAUUGCAAAAGCGUUUGACUCCGUUGGUUGGGGCUUCUUGUUGGAGACCUUGUCUGCUUUUGGCUUUGGUCGGCGCUGGAGAAACAUUGUGUCUGUCAUCCUGAGUUCUGCUUCCUCAAGAAUUUUGUUAAAUGGCACCCCUGGUCCGCCCUUCAGGCAUAUGUGUGGUCUUAGACAGGGUGACCCCUUGUCCCCGAUGUUGUUCAUUCUCGCCAUGGAGCCGCUUCGGAAACUGUUGGAUCUUGCAACGGAAGGCGGUGUUCUAACUAAGCUGGGACCUAAGGCAGCCAGAUUUCGCACAAGUAUGUACGCUGAUGAUGCGGCCCUGUUUUUAAACCCUAUCAAGGACGAGGUGCAUGCAGUCAGAGCAAUAUUGGAUAGGUUUGGGGAGGCCUCUGGUCUAAAAAUCAACAUCCAGAAAUGUGUUGCAUAUCCAGUUAGGUGCGAGGGGCUCGACUUCCAGGAUAUUAUCCAAGAUUUUGGUGGGACGGCAGGCUCUCUCCUGUGUCGUUACCUUGGACUGCCGCUCAGUUAUCGCAAGCUUAGAAGAAUUGAGGUCCUCCCUCUCAUAGAUGGCAUGGCCGGAAGGCUUAAAGGAUGGAAAGGCAAACUGAUGGCCAAACCUGGAAGGCUCACUCUAAUAAAUUCUGUGCUUACAUCCAUGGCCACAUAUUUCUUAACCAGUUUUGCAGUUGACAAAUGGGCAAUAAAGAAAAUGGAAAAGAUUCAGCGAAACUUCCUUUGGAAUGGUGACGAGGAGUGCAAAGGGGCCAAGUGCCUUGUCAACUGGAAGAGGGUCUGCUCCCCAAAGGAUCUUGGUGGCCUUGGAAUCAAAGACAUUGCCUGCUUCAGUAGGGCAUUGCGGCUGCGUUGGGCUUGGCUAGAGUGGAGCCCCAAUUCAAGGCCUUGGCAGGGCACCCCCAUCCCAUGCGAUCGCACGGACAUGCUGCUUUUCUCAGCUUGCACGGAGAUUUCGUUGGGGAAUGGGCAACGGGCAAGUUUCUGGAAUGAUCGAUGGCUGUUGGGAAUGGCUCCUGUGGAUGUGGCCCCCGGUUUGUUCGGUUUGGCACGGCGGAAAAGGCUCUCUGUGAAGGAAGCUCUUGCUGGUAAUCGCUGGAUGAAGGGCCUGGAAAGAAUUGCUUCCGAGGAGCUGCUGGAUCAACUUGUCAAGUUAUGGGAGCUGCUGCAACCCAUUGUCCUUUCUGAUGUUCCUGAUACCAUCCGGUGGAAGUUCACUAAUGAUGGAGGCUACUCCGCUGCGUCUGCUUACAAUGCUCAGUUUAUUGGUCGCAUCGCUGAGCCACAAUUGCAUGCUUCAUUGAGGAUCAAGGCCGAGCCGAAGGUAAAGUUCCAUCUGUGGCUCCUGAUUUAG
RNAcentral lists this ribosomal RNA (1563 nucleotides) under Triticum aestivum (bread wheat). RNAcentral's name for it is "partial small subunit ribosomal RNA". Lineage: Eukaryota; Viridiplantae; Streptophyta; Magnoliopsida; Poales; Poaceae. The record is from RNAcentral.